UACAGAGGUCCCGAGCGUUGUUCGGAUUCACUGGGCGUAAAGGGUGCGUAGGUGGCAUGGUAAGUUUGAUGUGAAAGCUCAGGGCUCAACCCUGAAAUGGCAUUGAAUACUACUGUGCUGGAGGUUUGGAGGGGGGACUGGAAUUCUCGGUGUAGCAGUGAAAUGCGCAGAUAUCAGGAAGAACACCCGUGGCUAAGGCGGCUCUCUAGUACGGUACUGACGCUGAGACGCGAAAGCGUGGGGAGCGAACAGG
RNAcentral lists this ribosomal RNA (253 nucleotides) under uncultured bacterium. RNAcentral's name for it is "partial 16S ribosomal RNA". It matches the Rfam family "Bacterial small subunit ribosomal RNA", at positions 524 to 776 of the family's 1533-position model. The record is from RNAcentral.